Molecule: long non-coding RNA, 675 nt
Organism: Oncorhynchus nerka (sockeye salmon)
Lineage: Eukaryota; Metazoa; Chordata; Actinopteri; Salmoniformes; Salmonidae
Exons: 2
Source: RefSeq, a predicted model, not a curated record
AGGCAAGCAGAAUAGUAACUAGAAGUAACUAAGUAACGGUAAAUUACAAAUGUAUAGAACUGCACGCACAUAGAAUUUAAAAUUAUAUAGAAAGGCAUAGAUAAGUGUUUAAAGACCAUAGCUACUAGUAACGGUAAGGAUUAAGAAUGGGGAGAAAGGCCUCGAAAGAAGCCCCAGAACUGACGGGAGAUCGAGCGAUGUAUGUAUGGGGGGUCUUUCCCGGUUCUUGGUAGUCAGUGUUCUUGAUAGUGAAAAGUGAUCGUGUGGUUGAGGUUCCGUGGGAAGAAACGGAACAGGUGAUUACUGUAUACGGUUUUAUGCCCAGCAGGAGAACUACAGAGGGAGGUGGCACACGAGAUUCAACCAGGAGACUGGAUCUGGAUCCAAUCACUAAAAAGAAAAAAAAGUGGAAGCAGCCUCGGUGGGAGGGACCAUUCCAAGUACUACUGGACUCUGGAGAGAUCAAUGACACUACAGAUUCCAGAUUCCAGGUUCUGACCCAUGGAGGACUGAAGGCAUGUCUACAGAGGAAGUGGAUGAAUCCGGAUCUGUCAUUUGUGGGGAAUUUAUGUUUGAUGAGAAUAGUGUUGAGAUGUAGGGGAAUUGGAUUGUAAUUUGUUUCAAUGAUUAAACUGUUUUUUAAUAAAGAUUGUAAAAAGAAAAAAGAUCCUGAAA